AAGAAAUUUUGAUCUUAUUUGUUCGUUAACAAAUCGUAAUUUUUUUUUUUUUUAAUUUUUAUUAAUUAACCCCGAAAUGGGCUGGGCCCUUGACGGGCCGGGCAAAAACUUUACAGAAACGAAACUUCAGAAGUCCAAAAGAGGAAAACGGAAAAACUUCCGACGACGAGGUUAACGGCUCGGAUCUUGCUGUAUAACCGGAGGCAGAGAGUCAGGGUACCAAAUCCGGCGGAAUCAAGGAGCACGGCGUUGCGGCAGAGCCAAGGGGAAGGGGAGAUCCGAAGGGAGAAACCGGUUCCCGACAUCGACCCCAACCCACCGGCCGACCAACCUGCUACACUCCUCCCGGAGUACCCAACCAACCAACAAUCGGUUCCGAGAAACCGGAUCCCACGCCUAGCAAUCCGACCACCGGGAAUCUAACCCCACCAACCAAAACCAAAAGCCUCGAGUUCCCCUGAGCAGAAAACUUCUCAGCCGGACCGAAAGAAACCACUUACGGCAGAUCCGGAGGUUGAUGGCUCAGACAAACACUCCUGACCCGGAACCCGCAGCGGUCGUCAAAGGAUCAAGAGAUCCUCCGUAAACCAUUGAAUCAAAACAAAAACCCACCUCUCCUUCACCGACUUCCGCCGUAGCCGGAGCGACCAGAAGGACGGGCGAGCCAUGCAGAAAGUCGGAUACAACCACCAGCGUCUUCAAACCGGGGUCUAGCGCAUCAGAUCCUCCCCCGCCCGAUUGGAACCGCCGCUACAUCCGUGAAGAAGAUCUCCACCACCGUUGUUGGAGAAAAGAACAAAUUGUAAUUUUCUUUUUUGGUAUUCUCUGGUGGUGAUUUAUUUUGACAAAAUCAUCACUAAGUUCUUGUUUUAUCAGGUUGAAAUCAACUAAUUUUAACAUUUAAUACUAGAAUGAUUCC
This 919-nucleotide long non-coding RNA is filed under the name Capsella rubella. RNAcentral's name for it is "long non-coding RNA (CRUB_LNC004950)". The record is from RNAcentral. Lineage: Eukaryota; Viridiplantae; Streptophyta; Magnoliopsida; Brassicales; Brassicaceae.